This 257-nucleotide ribosomal RNA is filed under the name uncultured bacterium. Its description in RNAcentral is "partial 16S ribosomal RNA". It matches the Rfam family "Bacterial small subunit ribosomal RNA", at positions 524 to 776 of the family's 1533-position model. The record is from RNAcentral.
UACGAAGGGGGCUAGCGUUGUUCGGAUUUACUGGGCGUAAAGCGCACGUAGGCGGAUCGUUAAGUCGGGGGGUGAAAUCCUGGAGCUCAACUCCAGAACUGCCUUUGAUACUGAGGAUCUUGAGUUCGGGAGAGGUGAGUGGAACUGCGAGUGUAGAGGUGAAAAUUCGUAGAUAUUCGCAAGAACACCAGUGGCGAAGGCGCCUAUCUGGCUGACAACUGACGCUGAGACUCGAAAGCAUGGGGGAGCAAAACAGG